Molecule: long non-coding RNA, 3277 nt
Organism: Haliotis rubra (blacklip abalone)
Lineage: Eukaryota; Metazoa; Mollusca; Gastropoda; Lepetellida; Haliotidae
Exons: 2
Source: RefSeq, a predicted model, not a curated record
GAGAGAGUUGUGUGUCUAUAUUUGGAGUUCCCUUUGUUCACCUUACUACGACUUUACUACUAGAUUCCUGUCAAUCACCGUGGCCUUGCACGUGGGACACUCCACGCAUGGACUACAGGUAAACGUGAUUAGAUUUCCUCUCAGGUGCUAAUUAUCACAGUUUGAGGAACCUUUUCACCUAAGGAGUGGAUCUUUCAAAGGAUUUCAUUGAAGUAUUGGAUUUUACCUUAUUUCAAGAGGAACCAUGUUUUUGGACACUGUUCGAUUUGGAGUUUGUUUACUUGAAAGAGUGUUGUUUGCUUUCAUAAUUAGCAUAAAUACACACCAGGUAUGCUCUAAGUAUCAAAAAGGGAUCGGUUAAAACUUUUCAAAAAGUUUUACAAUGAAAUGUACGCAGUUUCAGUGAUGAAGCCCAAGAAAAGUUUUCACUUCCGGGUGUUGAUGGGCGUUUCAGUGAUGUAUCGGAAUUUGUGCCAUAUUAUGUGAUCAAGUGAGUUAAUGUGACGUAAUGUUUUACUUCCGUGGAUAUAUAUGUGUAUUCAAGCCUUCUUAACUCAAGAAACGAACUUAAUACGGAUUACAUAUUGACAAGGGAUGCCCUGUCAAUUACGCAUGCAGCGCCAACGCACGUGCUGCGCGCGCUUGACAAUGACCAUUGUUUACAACAGCAGACGACAAAAUGGAGCAACAUGUGCAUAAUAACGCCUCUGGAUUACCGGUAUAAUUAGGAGGAUAUUCGCAUUUUCUGAAACAAUAUUUGAUGAAGGAUUGGAUGGUGAAGAAGUAGACAGAGAUUCUGCACAUCAGCCUGUCAUGUCUGGCAUGUUUAUCACAACUUAAAAAGAAAGGAUCUUCCGUACUGCUGUUUAAUGAUUAGGAUCCUACCUAAAGAGCACUGGUGUCAGAUGAUGUGUUAGGAAUACCAUGUUACAGGUACAAAAUAGUUACUCUUUCAUGCACUUGUCCUUGUACCCUGAAGUUGAAGAAACAUUCUCAUAGAACAUUGAAUGGAUAAGAUGGUGUGCUAGCAUUGCUACCAUUGAUAAAAUGACGCUUCACAGCAACAUGCGUGUCUGCACAAAUGUGUGCAAAUGACCACUGGAUAUUCCUAUCUCUCUUCUCGAGGAUAUCAGCAGUACAUUGUGUGCAAAUGACCACUGGAUAUUCUUAUCUCUCUUGUCGAGGAUAUCAGCAGUACAAUGUGUGCAAAUGACCACUGGAUAUUCCUAUCUCUCCUUGUCGAGGAUAUCAGCAGUACAUUGCAGUGGAAUAUGAUAUCGAUGCAGGACAGACUGACACUUAUUGCACAGAACGUAAUAAUUCACGUAUUGCACAGAAUGUAAUAACUCAUUUUGACAAGCAGAGUACUUACAUUGGCUGUGUGUAUGUAUGUAGUAUGAUAUACUCACCUACAUACAUUGAACGACAACGCACAUAUUGAUUUCAACAGAAAGCGCUGACAGAGGAAAUUUCAGCACUAAUGCAGAUUUCGUUGUGCAAGGGCGGCGGUUUCACCAUCUGGGGAGCGUGUAUUUCAUAUUUGGAGGCGCUAUAUACUUUAGAGGAACCUGUGUUGCAAGUUGCAAAUGGAAAUUUUGUAUUGUGAUGUAUUCCCGAAAAUACUGUGAGUCCUUUUACUAGGAUAUCCGUGCAGUUUGUUGGAAGCAGUCACAGUAAUCACAGGUAAUGUCCUACAGGAUGUGCUAUUGAUUCAAAUUCUUAUGUAAAGUGAGAGCAGUUUUAUUGUCGCCUUGAAGGAUCAUAACACCAUCAUCAUGGACAAUUGUAUUUCAAUUUAAGAUGUUUUAUUUCCUACAAAAUCAAAGACAAGAUGGAUGAUAACAUGUGUAAUUGGGCAAAACAUGCUUGAUGAUCCAGAAGCAGAAAGGAAGUGAAACAUGAAUCCAAUAAACAGAGAUUUCAAAUGUGUAAUCAGGCACCUGAAGAACAGGUCACAAGAGGAUUAAGUGCAGAAAGUGGAUUAGCUUCACAAAUGCAUGUUUUCCUCAUACAAGCACAUUUGAUGUGUAGUUUAUAUGGUGUUGUUCUUGAUGCCAUUGAUUUCAAGGCAGCAGCUGUCUUUGUGUGGUUAAAGAGAUUGUGUUUGUACCUGUAUGAUUGCAGCAAAUGCAUGUUGAUGCUUACCAACUGCUGUAAAAUUGAAUCUUUGGAGAAGCCCCAGCAUAUCAAGAUAGUGUGUUCUCAUUGAGUGUAGCAUUUUGGCAAUUACUGAAUCUGAUGUGAGAGUUCAUUCCAAAUGCUUGAUGAGGAACUGAGAUUUCUACUGUGUGAGAUUGAUAAGGAACAAGUUCAAACUAAUCAUUCAGUGUGUGUUGUAAUGUUCAUAGAUGAAAACCAAAAAGGAUUGGAAAGUUCCCCAUCAGCAUAGCACAGAAUGUUCCUCAGCUGCAUUGUGUCCAUAUCGUCAUGAUGGAAGUGAAACAACAGUACUAUUAGUCUAGUGCUGCCAAAUCGGAAAGAUGUAUUCUUUAUUACAUUAUCCUAAGGAGUACAGCCAGUGGAGAUUGUUGUGUUCGUCCAAAGUAUCACAGACAAAUGUAAGAUCCAACUGGGAGUAGCUCUUCAGGAAUUGAUGUCAUCCAGCAAAUAGUCACUCUUGCCAAAAGAGUAAAUUGUGCCAAUGAGCUGAAAAUAGUUUUUAUAUAUUCCUUUACCUGGAGGUAUUCGAGGCUGGUCAUUAUUGCUUUGUCAAGCAAUUCUGUCUUCCUGGAUUGGAUGUAUGUGUUCUUCAUCAUCAUGAAAUAUUACAUUGACAUCAUGAAUAUUGUUUCAUUUCUUUGUGAUUGACUAAGAAUCAUUUUUGGGUCUGAAUCCUGCAUCAUUUUGCAACCCCAAAAACAUUUUUAGAAACCAGAUUUGAAGAUUUACUCAUGUAUACUUCUGUUACAUGGGGGAUAUUUGUCAAAUGUAGUGUUUAUGGAGAUCUAAGUUUUCAUUUCAAAAGCUGUAUGUUGAUCAUAGACACCGUAAAACCUUCAGUUACAUUUUAGUAUGUAAUAAUCAAUUUUCAUUUUUGUAUUUUAUCAAUAUUUCUUGAAAAACAAUGUUACAUCAUUCAAUAUAAAUGUAUAAGAAUUAUUAAUAUUUUCUAAAUCAUGUCAAACUAUUAAAAUACUGAACUCUGCUACUAAUAUUGUAAUGCAGGUCUCUUGUUUCAUGUUUAGAAACCAGGAAUCUGGGCAGUUGUAAUAACCAUUCUGCAUUUGUUGUUAUGAUAUACCCAAAUGAUAAAAUAAAAUAUACUUUUUUGAAAAGG